AACGCACGAGACCUGCGGACCUGCGGAAGGAUCAUUACCGAGUUUACAACUCCCAAACCCCAUGUGAACAUACCUGUUUCGUUCCCUCGGCGGUGUCCGGCAACGGCCCGCCAGAGGACCCAACAAACUCUUUUGAAUUUUUCAGUAUCUUCUGAGUGAAAAAAACAAUAAAUCAAAACUUUCAACAACGGAUCUCU
Molecule: unclassified non-coding RNA, 197 nt
Filed under: soil metagenome
Description: partial contains 5.8S ribosomal RNA, internal transcribed spacer 2, and large subunit ribosomal RNA
Source: RNAcentral